UACGUAGGGGGCUAGCGUUGUCCGGAUUUACUGGGCGUAAAGAGCGCGCAGGCGGUCGUUCAAGUCGCGUGUGAAAGCCCCCGGCUCAACUGGGGAGGGUCACGCGAUACUGAUCGACUCGAAGGCAGGAGAGGGUAGUGGAAUUCCCGGUGUAGUGGUGAAAUGCGUAGAUAUCGGGAGGAACCCCAGUGGCGAAGGCGACUACCUGGCCUGUUUCUUGACGCUGAGGCGCGAAAGCUAGGGGAGCAAACGGG
Molecule: ribosomal RNA, 254 nt
Filed under: uncultured bacterium
Lineage: Bacteria
Description: partial 16S ribosomal RNA
Rfam family: Bacterial small subunit ribosomal RNA
Source: RNAcentral